This 468-nucleotide ribosomal RNA is filed under the name uncultured bacterium. RNAcentral describes it as "partial 16S ribosomal RNA". It matches the Rfam family "Bacterial small subunit ribosomal RNA", at positions 28 to 507 of the family's 1533-position model. The record is from RNAcentral.
GACGAACGCUGGCGGCGUGCUUAACACAUGCAAGUCGAACGGAAAGGCCCUGCUUUUGUGGGGUGCUCGAGUGGCUAACGGGUGAGUAACACGUGAGUAACCUGCCCUUGACUUUGGGAUAACUUCAGGAAACUGGGGCUAAUACCGGAUAGGAGCUCCUGCUGCAUGGUGGGGGUUGGAAAGUUUCGUCGGUUGGGGAUGGACUCGCGGCUUAUCAGCUUGUUGGUGGGGUAGUGGCUUACCAAGUCUUUGACGGGUAGCCGGCCUGAGAGGGUGACCGGCCACAUUGGGACUGAGAUACAGCCCAGACUCCUACGGGAGGCAGCAGUGGGGAAUAUUGCACAAUGGGCGGAAGCCUGAUGCAGCAACGCCGCGUGCGGGAUGACGGCCUUCGGGUUGUAAACCGCUUUCGCCUGUGACGAAGCGUGAGUGACGGUAAUGGGUAAAGAAGCACCGGCUAACUACGUG